Molecule: ribosomal RNA, 147 nt
Filed under: Berberis lycium
Lineage: Eukaryota; Viridiplantae; Streptophyta; Magnoliopsida; Ranunculales; Berberidaceae
Description: partial 18S ribosomal RNA
Source: RNAcentral
AUGCACACUAGGUACUUAUCUGUGUGAUUGAUAGUAUAUAUUAGUACAGGCAUGUCAGAUUAUAUAUGGACCACGGCGCUUCAUCCAAAAACCUCCCUGGAAAAGUAAAGUUCGACAAGGUUUCCGUAGGUGAACUGCGGAAGGAUC